UCGUAACAAGGUUUCCGUAGGUGAACCUGCGGAAGGAUCAUUAGUGAAUUAUAGGGCGUCUACUUGUAGAGCCUGACCUCCACUUCUAACACUGUGCACUUGAUGGCGAGGUAAUGGAACUUUCGAGUGAAACUACCUUGCGGCUUCAUUUUAAACAUUAGUCAAAGUAUGUAAUGAAAUAAAAAACAAAAAAAAACUUUCAACAACGGAUCUCUUGGCUCUCGCAUCGAUGAAGAACGCAGCGAAAUGUGAUAAGUAAUGUGAAUUGCAGAAUUCAGUGAAUCAUCGAAUCUUUGAACGCACCUUGCGCUCCCUGGUAUUCCGGGGAGCAUGCCUGUUUGAGUGUCAUGAACUCUUCAACCCACCAGUUUCUAGUAGACUGCGUUGGUGUUUGGAUUUUGAGCGUUGCUAGUCUGACUAGCUCGUUCGUAAUAUAUUAGCAUCUCUAAUUCGAAUUCGGAUUGACUCAGUGUAAUAGACUAUUCGCUGAGGACACUUUUAUUAGUGGCCGUACUAGAACCAGUAGAAGCUUCCAACUAUUGUAGUCAACUUUAAUUUAGACCUCAGAUCAGGCAGGAUUACCCGCUGAACUUAAGCAUAUCA
RNAcentral lists this unclassified non-coding RNA (603 nucleotides) under Phenoliferia glacialis. Its description in RNAcentral is "sequence contains 18S rRNA gene, ITS1, 5.8S rRNA gene, ITS2, 28S rRNA gene". The stretch from base 195 to 348 matches the Rfam family "5.8S ribosomal RNA". The record is from RNAcentral. Lineage: Eukaryota; Fungi; Basidiomycota; Microbotryomycetes; Kriegeriales; Kriegeriaceae.